AUGGCGCCAUCGGCUUCCGACGUCCUGCGCCUCGACGGCAACGGGAACCCGAGGACGCUCCGCCUCUUGGCGUCGCUCGUGGAGGCCGAGUCCCGCCGCUUCGCCGCCGCCGCCUCCGAGCCCGCGGAGAACGACCUCGUCCGGGCGUUCCGCGGCGGCGCGACCCCGGCCGUCCCCAUCGCCGAGUUCCUCGAGCGCCUCCAGCGCUGCAACUACUUGUUUGAUGGCGCCGUCUACGUCCUCGCGGCGGCGUACCUCGCGCUCUUCAUGCGCAGCCCCGCCGCGCUCGAGGCCGGGAUCGUCGUCGAGCCGGCCACCGCGCACCGCCUGAUUUCCGUGGCGGUCCUGCUCGGUGCCAAGUUCAGCAGCCCGAGGUACUACGAGAGGCGGGUGGAGUCGUUCCAGGUAUGCUCGGGCGAGUCCAUCCGGUCCACCGAGCUGUGCCCGCUCGAGUUGCUGUUCCUACGCGCCCUCGACUACCGGGUCUUCAUCGACGACGAAGAAUUCCGGCGCUUCUUCAGGAUCCUGGAACGCCGUCCAGCUCCAGCGCGCAGCGUGGCUUGUGCAGCGAAGAAGAGGAAGGCCGAGGAGGAGGUGGAACCACGCCGCGUGCGAGCUUGCCAGCUAGCCGCCCGCUACGGCAUCUCAGGAUUCAACCAGAGCUAA
Molecule: ribosomal RNA, 666 nt
Filed under: Triticum aestivum (bread wheat)
Lineage: Eukaryota; Viridiplantae; Streptophyta; Magnoliopsida; Poales; Poaceae
Description: partial small subunit ribosomal RNA
Source: RNAcentral